This 476-nucleotide ribosomal RNA is filed under the name uncultured organism. Its description in RNAcentral is "partial 16S ribosomal RNA". It matches the Rfam family "Bacterial small subunit ribosomal RNA", at positions 334 to 801 of the family's 1533-position model. The record is from RNAcentral.
CACUCCUGCGGGAGGCAGCAGUGGGGAAUUUUGGACAAUGGGCGAAAGCCUGAUCCAGCAAUGCCGCGUGCAGGAUGAAGGCCUUCGGGUUGUAAACUGCUUUUGUACGGAACGAAAAAGCUCCUUCUAAUACAGGGGGCCCAUGACGGUACCGUAAGAAUAAGCACCGGCUAACUACGUGCCAGCAGCCGCGGUAAUACGUAGGGUGCGAGCGUUAAUCGGAAUUACUGGGCGUAAAGCGUGCGCAGGCGGUUAUGUAAGACAGAUGUGAAAUCCCCGGGCUCAACCUGGGAACUGCAUAUGUGACUGCAUGGCUAGAGUACGGUAGAGGGGGAUGGAAUUCCGCGUGUAGCAGUGAAAUGCGUAGAUAUGCGGAGGAACACCGAUGGCGAAGGCAAUCCCCUGGACCUGUACUGACGCUCAUGCACGAAAGCGUGGGGAGCAAACAGGAUUAGAAACCCCAGUAGUCCCAUGAU